AACGAACGCUGGCGGCAGGCCUAACACAUGCAAGUCGAACGCCCGUAGCAAUACGGGAGUGGCAGACGGGUGAGUAACGCGUGGGAACGUGCCCUUCGGUUCGGAAUAACUCAGGGAAACUUGAGCUAAUACCGGAUACGUCCGUAAGGAGAAAGAUUUAUCGCCGAAGGAUCGGCCCGCGUCGGAUUAGCUAGUUGGUGAGGUAACGGCCCACCAAGGCGACGAUCCGUAGCUGGUCUGAGAGGAUGAUCAGCCACACUGGGACUGAGACACGGCCCAGACUCCUACGGGAGGCAGCAGUGGGGAAUAUUGGACAAUGGGCGAAAGCCUGAUCCAGCCAUGCCGCGUGAGUGAAGAAGGCCUUAGGGUUGUAAAGCUCUUUCAGCGGGGAAGAUAAUGACGGUACCCGCAGAAGAAGCCCCGGCUAACUUCGUGCCAGCAGCCGCAGUAAU
Molecule: ribosomal RNA, 452 nt
Filed under: uncultured bacterium
Lineage: Bacteria
Description: bacterial SSU rRNA
Rfam family: Bacterial small subunit ribosomal RNA
Source: RNAcentral